AUGGCAUGAUACAUAGCACCUCAUUCCCGGUAUCAUAACAGUGAUAGAUGCCACCAGUGUUAUACAAAACAUACAGCUGUGAAUGGCAUAGACCAUAAUGGUGGAGGACUCUCUACAGACAUGGCAUAACACUUAAGAACUCAUUCCCAAAUAUCAUGACCGUGAUAGAUGCUACCAAUGUUAUACAGAAUAUACAACAGUGAAUGGCAUAGACCAUGAUAGUGGAGGACUCUCUGCAGACAUGCCAUGACACUUAAGAGCCCAUUGUCCAAUAUAAUGACAGUGAUAGCUGCUACCAAUGUUAUACAGAACACACAGCAGUGAAUGACAUAGACCAUGAUACUGGAGGGCUCUGUGCAGAUUUGGCAUGACAUUUAAGAGCUCAUUCUGCCAUAUCAUGACAGUGAUAGAUGCUACCAAUUUUAUACAGAACAUAAGCAGUGAAUGACAUAGACCAUGAUACUGGAGGACUCUCUGCAGAUGUGGCGGUACUCGUAAGAGCUCAUUCACCAAUAUCAUGACAGUGAUAGAUGCUACCAAUGCUGUACAGAACAUGCAGCAGUGAAUGGCAUAAAUAAUGAUGGUGGUUAAGCCCAAGUUGAAAUCCUGGUAUUGGAAGACAUCUAUAUCUGCUUAGCAGCUAAUCAUGCCAAGAAAAUUGACUUGAAGAUUAUCUUCAGGAUCUGAUCCUGCAAAGGUGAAAACAGUGUGGAAAGGUUGAGCUCAAGUUGUCAUUCUGAUAUUGGAAGACAUUUAUACUUCCUGGGUAGCUAAUCAUGCAAAGGAAAACUACUAGAAGGCUGUUCUUAGAAUCUGAUCCUGUAAAAGUGAAAACACUUUAGAAAGGGAUGUGGAAUACCAUCAGAAACAUGAAACCAACUAUUAUUAACUAUGAAGAAGAGCAAAGCACCCUGGGCAUAUUAAUUAUAUUCCUGAAAAAAUAAAUAGGGGAAUUUUAAAGUCUGUACUGUUUAUUACACAGUAAUUGAUGACUGACUGCAUUUGUGAAAAAUAUUCUUUCACACAUUUUAUUUUAUCUUACUUUGCUCUCUGGAGAGUAUACAGUGGAGGAGAGUAGAAGCAAGUAGAAAAUUCAAGACUCAAGAAAAGUCAUGAAUAGAAAAGUUAGGAAAUAUUAGACAAACCUUUUGAAACCAUUAUGAUUAAUGGCAAUCUAAACAACUGUAGUUAAUCUACUGGAUGGGGUACAUCUCAGUGAUAUUGGUAAGGACAUAUAUAAUAGUAAAAUGGGCACAGCAAUUCAUGAAUUCACAAUGCAUAGUUAAUCUGGUAAAACCAGAGGUAGGAGCACUUUAAAGAGCAUGGCAAUAUGCUGCUGAGUGGUAGAAGAAAAGCUGAAAUGCCUAUCCAUCAGUAGUCAAUAGAUUAUUAAUCCAUGAAACCUGUACAUAAGCAGCUUGGGCAUGAGGCUAGUUGUCACUGGUAAGUAGCUUAGGGUACAUUUGAUACAUAUUUAGACAUGGUUUCCAACUACAAGAGAGCUUACUGAGGAACUAAUGAUGGUAGGUUGUGGUGCAGAGGUACGAGUCCAGUCUAAGAUGUCAAUUGUGAUUGAUUAAGGAAAGAUACCAUAAGCAACAUACCAUACAAGAUACCAUACAAAGUUAGUUAUAUUCAAAUAAGUUAUGAAAUAAAUACUUUAGUAAAUGCAACUGGUUCAUAAGCAACUUGUUGACUUGCAGAAUAUCUAAAGUAAUCUGGUUUUGUUGACAUAAAAUGUAACAUAUAUUUAUUUAAUGAAAUGUAAGUCAGUAAUGCAGUCAAUAAACUGCAAUAAAUCCAUCAUCUAAUUUAAUGAAGAUAAAGAUGGAGACAAAAAAAUAAAUAAUGGUGAAGUCUUCUGGAAUAAGGGACUAGGGAUUUUCAAGAAUGACAUAACCUGUUCAACAAUUUGCUAUUGUUGGCUCUGGUUUUCCCUCAUUUCUUGAUGAGGAACCGACAAGUAAGCAACAGGGAAGGGAUAUAACAGGAAACAGACCAGAUAAAGGAAUGAAAUUGAAUGACAGUGAAAAACUAGGAUAAGGCCCAUUGGAUGACAUCAGAGGCAAGUAAUCAGGAUUCCCUGCUCUCUCCUUCCUAAACAAGAAAGUAAUAUGAUUGUCAAAGGAAAAGGGGGAAAGAGAACUAAAAAAUAAAGUAAUAUGAUUAUCAAAGGAAGGGAGAAAGAGAAGUUGGAGUUCUAGUAAUGAGGAGGAGAAAGUGGUGACUGAUAGCUUUACUUAAACUUGUAGAUUGUAAAAAUAAUAGAAAUGUUGACAUUAUAUUAGUCAAACACUGUACUUAAUACAAGCAAAGUAGACUACAUCUUGAUUUUUCUUAUUUUAGAAGACUAGUUACGACUGCAAAGUCUGCUUGAAUUGACUGACAGAGAGGUGCCAAUGAAGAUCUUUAUAGAAUUUUUGGGGAAAAAUACCAGUAGUAUUAUUUAUGUUUAAUAAGGAAAAACAUAAUUAACCUUUGACACCUCUAGUCAUGCUGGAAGGAUGGAAAAUAUUCUUAGAUUGUCAGACUCCUACAGUCUGAAAAUAUUGCAAUAAAUACAUUAGCUUGUUUUCCUACAUUCCAAAUGUGUUCUGAUUUAGCACUUCUGGUUAUACAAUAGCCAUUAUAUGCAAACUGUCAUGUAAAUUAUUUUGUUACAACUAAGUAGCAAGACUAAGGAUGGUAAGAUGAGGGUCAGUUAUGAGGCUAGUCUGAAAGGUCAAGGCCUGUAUGUAACUUAAGAUACAGCCAACAGCAGAGUUCUCGGAACCUGAUGGCAAAUAAGAUAUAACAAGAAGUAAUGUAAAAUUGAAAUAAAUUAUAAAGAACCUUUUUCAUAAAUGCAAAUGGUUAAUGCAUAAGUAAUUAAUAUGGCGGGUGUCUAAUAAAGUUUAAUAAUAUUGAC
Protopterus annectens (West African lungfish) is the source of this 2908-nucleotide long non-coding RNA. RefSeq lists it as uncharacterized. NCBI's taxonomy places the organism in Eukaryota, Metazoa, Chordata, Ceratodontiformes, Protopteridae. The transcript has 7 exons. The record is from RefSeq and is a predicted model, not a curated record.